Long non-coding RNA from Oncorhynchus tshawytscha (Chinook salmon), 215 nucleotides. RefSeq lists it as uncharacterized. NCBI's taxonomy places the organism in Eukaryota, Metazoa, Chordata, Actinopteri, Salmoniformes, Salmonidae. The record is from RefSeq and is a predicted model, not a curated record. The transcript has 3 exons.
CCCAAACAGAAGAGUUACUUCAUCAUCUCAGCUGAGGAUCCUAAUAGGGUUCGAACCAACGCCAGCCUGACUCUGUUUGGCAGUGGUUUUGACAGUGAUGAAGAGCUGCCCCCGCCCUUCCUCAGCGCCACCCAACCUGCGUACAGCCUGCCAGGCUCUGACGGAUACUCCAGCCAUGUGGAGUCUGAUGUGUUCAGCCAUGGUCAGACUGAGAG